UACGUAGGGCGCAAGCGUUAUCCGGAAUUAUUGGGCGUAAAGAGCUCGUAGGCGGUUUGUCGCGUCUGCUGUGAAAACUCGAGGCUCAACCUCGGGCUUGCAGUGGGUACGGGCAGACUAGAGUGCGGUAGGGGUGACUGGAAUUCCUGGUGUAGCGGUGGAAUGCGCAGAUAUCAGGAGGAACACCGAUGGCGAAGGCAGGUCACUGGGCCGCAACUGACGC
RNAcentral lists this ribosomal RNA (223 nucleotides) under uncultured bacterium. Its description in RNAcentral is "partial 16S ribosomal RNA". It matches the Rfam family "Bacterial small subunit ribosomal RNA", at positions 524 to 746 of the family's 1533-position model. The record is from RNAcentral.